RNAcentral lists this ribosomal RNA (34 nucleotides) under Pratylenchus vulnus (walnut meadow nematode). Its description in RNAcentral is "partial 28S ribosomal RNA". Lineage: Eukaryota; Metazoa; Nematoda; Chromadorea; Rhabditida; Pratylenchidae. The record is from RNAcentral.
CUCAGACGUGAGUACCCGCUGAACUUAAGCAUAU